AUUGAACGCUGGCGGCAUGCCUUACACAUGCAAGUCGAACGGUAACGCGGGGCAACCUGGCGACGAGUGGCGAACGGGUGAGUAAAGCAUCGGAACGUGCCCAGUAGCGGGGGAUAGCCCGGCGAAAGCCGGAUUAAUACCGCAUACGACCUAUGGGCGAAAGGGGGGGAUCGCAAGACCGCUCGCUAUUUGAGCGGCCGAUGGCAGAUUAGGUAGUUGGUGGGGUAAAGGCCUACCAAGCCGACGAUCUGUAGCUGGUCUGAGAGGACGACCAGCCACACUGGGACUGAGACACGGCCCAGACUCCUACGGGAGGCAGCAGUGGGGAAUUUUGGACAAUGGGCGCAAGCCUGAUCCAGCCAUGCCGCGUGCGGGAAGAAGGCCUUCGGGUUGUAAACCGCUUUUGUCAGGGAAGAAAUCCUUUGGGUUAAUACCUCGGGGGGAUGACGGUACCUGAAGAAUAAGCACCGGCUAACUACGUGCCAGCAGCCGCCGUAA
Molecule: ribosomal RNA, 498 nt
Filed under: uncultured bacterium
Lineage: Bacteria
Description: partial 16S ribosomal RNA
Rfam family: Bacterial small subunit ribosomal RNA
Source: RNAcentral